Molecule: ribosomal RNA, 494 nt
Filed under: uncultured bacterium
Lineage: Bacteria
Description: partial 16S ribosomal RNA
Rfam family: Bacterial small subunit ribosomal RNA
Source: RNAcentral
GACGAACGCUGGCGGCGUGCUUAACACAUGCAAGUCGAACGGAAAGGCCUGCUUUCCCUUGUGGAUUGCGGGUACUCGAGUGGCGAACGGGUGAGUAACACGUGAGUGAUCUGCCCCCAACUUGGGUAUAAGCCUGGGAAACUGGGUCUAAUUCCCGAUAGGACUGCAGGGUGGUGCCUGUGGUGGAAAACGAUUUUCUAGUGGUUGGGGAUGAGCUCGCGGCCUAUCAGCUUGUUGGUGGGGUAAUGGCCUACCAAGGCGGCGACGGGUAGCCGGCCUGGGAGGGUGGACGGCCACAUUGGGACUGAGAUACGGCCCAGACUCCUACGGGAGGCAGCAGUGGGGAAUAUUGCACAAUGGGCGGAAGCCUGAUGCAGCGACGCCGCGUGGGGGAUGACGGCCUUCGGGUUGUAAACUCCUUUCGACCGCGAGGAAGCCACCUGGUUGGAAGGGUGGUGACGGUAGUGGUAGAAGAAGCACCGACUAACUACGUG